UGGGGAAUCUUGCACAAUGGGGGCAACCCUGAUGCAGCGACGCCGCGUGAGCGAUGAAGCCCUUCGGGGCGUAAAGCUCUUUCGACCGGAACGAUAAUGACGGUACCGGGAGAAGAAGCUGCGGCUAACUACGUGCCAGCAGCCGCGGUAAUACGUAGGCAGCAAGCGUUGUUCGGAAUUACUGGGCGUAAAGCGUACGUAGGCGGAUGCGCAAGUUGGGGGUGAAAUCCCGGGGCUUAACCUCGGAAUUGCCCUCAAAACUGCACGUCUUGAGACCGAGAGAGGUAAGGGGAAUUCCUAGUGUAGAGGUGAAAUUCGUAGAUAUUAGGAAGAACACCAGUGGCGAAGGCGCCUUACUGGCUCGGUACUGACGCUGAGGUACGAAAGCGUGGGGAGCAAACA
This 402-nucleotide ribosomal RNA is filed under the name uncultured bacterium. RNAcentral describes it as "bacterial SSU rRNA". It matches the Rfam family "Bacterial small subunit ribosomal RNA", at positions 355 to 774 of the family's 1533-position model. The record is from RNAcentral.